GACGAAUGCUGGCGGCGUGCUUAACACAUGCAAGUCGAACGGAAAGGCCCUGCUUUUGUGGGGUGCUCGAGUGGCGAACGGGUGAGUAACACGUGAGUAACCUGCCCUUGACUUUGGGAUAACUUCAGGAAACUGGGGCUAAUACCGGAUAGGAGCUCCUGCUGCAUGGUGGGGGUUGGAAAGUUUCGGCGGUUGGGGAUGUACUCGCGGCUUAUCAGCUUGUUGGUGGGGUAGUGGCUUACCAAGGCUUUGACGGGUAGCCGGCCUGAGAGGGUGACCGGCCACAUUGGGACUGAGAUACGGCCCAGACGCCUACGGGAGGCAGAAGUGGGGAAUAUUGCACAAUGGGCGGAAGCCUGAUGCAGCAACGCCGCGUGCGGGAUGACGGCCUUCGGGUUGUAAACCGCUGUCGCCUGUGACGAAGCGUGAGUGACGGUAAUGGGUAAAGAAGCACCGGCUAACUACGUG
RNAcentral lists this ribosomal RNA (468 nucleotides) under uncultured bacterium. Its description in RNAcentral is "partial 16S ribosomal RNA". It matches the Rfam family "Bacterial small subunit ribosomal RNA", at positions 28 to 507 of the family's 1533-position model. The record is from RNAcentral.